This 493-nucleotide ribosomal RNA is filed under the name uncultured bacterium. Its description in RNAcentral is "partial 16S ribosomal RNA". It matches the Rfam family "Bacterial small subunit ribosomal RNA", at positions 30 to 523 of the family's 1533-position model. The record is from RNAcentral.
AUUGAACGCUGGCGGCAUGCUUUACACAUGCAAGUCGAACGGUAACAGGUUAAGCUGACGAGUGGCGAACGGGUGAGUAAUGCAUCGGAACGUGCCCGAUCGUGGGGGAUAACGCAGCGAAAGCUGCGCUAAUACCGCAUACGAUCUGAGGAUGAAAGCGGGGGACCGUAAGGCCUCGCGCGAUCGGAGCGGCCGAUGUCAGAUUAGGUAGUUGGUGGGGUAAAGGCCCACCAAGCCGACGAUCUGUAGCUGGUCUGAGAGGACGACCAGCCACACUGGGACGGAGACACGGCCCAGACUCCUACGGGAGGCAGCAGUGGGGAAUUUUGGACAAUGGACGCAAGUCUGAUCCAGCCAUUCCGCGUGCAGGAUGAAGGCCCUCGGGUUGUAAACUGCUUUUGUACGGAACGAAAAGGUCUCUCUUAAUACGGGGGACUCAUGACGGUACCGUAAGAAUAAGCACCGGCUAACUACGUGCCAGCCGCCGCAGUAA